AGUGAACGCUGGCGGUAGGCCUAACACAUGCAAGUCGAACGGCAGCACAGUAAGAGCUUGCUCUUACGGGUGGCGAGUGGCGGACGGGUGAGGAAUACAUCGGAAUCUACUUUUUCGUGGGGGGUAACGUAGGGAAACUUACGCUAAUACCGCAUACGACCUACGGGUGAAAGCAGGGGAUCUUCGGACCUUGCGCGAUUGAAUGAGCCGAUGUCGGAUUAGCUAGUUGGCGGGGUAAAGGCCCACCAAGGCGACGAUCCGUAGCUGGUCUGAGAGGAUGAUCAGCCACACUGGAACUGAGACACGGUCCAGGCUCCUACGGGAGGCAGCAGUGGGGAAUAUUGGACAAUGGGCGCAAGCCUGAUCCAGCCAUACCGCGUGGGUGAAGAAGGCCUUCGGGUUGUAAAGCCCUUUUGUUGGGAAAGAAAAGCAGCAGGUUAAUACCCCGCUGUUCUGACGGUACCCAAAGAAUAAGCACCGGCUAACUUCGUG
This 492-nucleotide ribosomal RNA is filed under the name uncultured bacterium. RNAcentral describes it as "partial 16S ribosomal RNA". It matches the Rfam family "Bacterial small subunit ribosomal RNA", at positions 29 to 507 of the family's 1533-position model. The record is from RNAcentral.